This 24-nucleotide small nuclear RNA is filed under the name Arabidopsis thaliana (thale cress). RNAcentral describes it as "snRNA_18386". Lineage: Eukaryota; Viridiplantae; Streptophyta; Magnoliopsida; Brassicales; Brassicaceae. The record is from RNAcentral.
AUCCACCUCGCGCACUAACGCAUU